This is a non-coding RNA of Podarcis lilfordi (Lilford's wall lizard), 3681 nucleotides long. The record is from the annotation of a GenBank genome assembly. Lineage: Eukaryota; Metazoa; Chordata; Lepidosauria; Squamata; Lacertidae.
GAGGGGGGAAAGGCACAGAGCAAUGGCAACAUCUUACCUAGUAAAAACGUAAAGGACCCCUGGAUGGUUAAGUCCAGUCAAAGGCAACAAUGGGGUUGUGGUGCUCAUCUCACUUCAGGCCGAGGGAGCCAGCGUUUGUCCACAGACAGAUUUUCAGGUCAUGUGGGCAGCAUGACUAAACUGCUUCUGGCACAAUGGAACACCGUGACGGAAACCAGAGCGCACGAAAACGCCAUUUACCUUCCUGUUGCAGCGGUACCUAUUUAUCUACUUGCACUGGUGUGCUUUCAAACUGCUGGUUGGCAGGAGCUGGGACCGAGCAACGGGAGCUCACCCUGUCGUGAGGAUUCAAACUGCUGACCUUCUGAUUGGCAAGCCCAAGAGGCUCAGUGGUUUAGACCACAGCGCCACCCGCGUCCUAUCAUGCCUAGUGAGUGACAACAUUUGGGCAUUUUAAGAAGCCCCAUGCACCAGACAAUGGUUGGGGGACCUUUUUGAGCCUGAGAGCUGCAAACCCUUUUGGGCAACUUCCCAAGGACCACAUGCCAGUGAUGGAUGGGGCUAGAGGCAAAAGUGGGUGGAGCAAUGAAUAUGCAUUUUGCUUUCUACAGUAGGCUGCUUUCUACACACACUCACACAUCCCUCUCUAUCCUCCAAUCAAGAGGCAUUGUCAGAGUUUAGGGACACACUCCAGCCAGGCACAAACACUUGUGGGGUGCAAAGGAGGACCAGUAAUGGGUGUAGCCUGUGGGAAGAGGGCCACACAGAGAGGUCUGGAGGCCCAAAUUCAGCCCCAGGCCUGACAUUCCCCACCUCUGCGCUCUGUUUUUCAAUAUUAUAGGCUUUGAGAUAAUGAAGAUUAUUAUUAUUAUUGCUACAUCCAAAUAUUAUGCAAAUUGCAUUAAUUACAUGUGUGCAAAUAUGUAAAUUAGUAGCAGACCUCAGGCUCAUGAAAUAUUUCUGAUGCAGCUAUCGUUGCUAAAUAAGCUGUCGACUCCUGCGCUUGAUGGAUAGCAACCGGAAAAUGUGGUCUUUAAUUAAUUUUUCUCUGAAAAUUAUUCGAGCCCAUUAAAAUGUGCCGUGAGAAGGGUCUCUGAUUUAGGAAACAUGUCAAGCAAAUAAAUAUGUAGCAGGGAACAAAUGCGUAGGAGAUCAUAAAGCAGUUGAAAAUACAUUCUUAUUAACUAAUAAGCAUUUCCUGAUGUUUAGUUAGAAACAAAACGGGGCGGGGGGGACUCACAUGCAUUUGUUUCAUCUCUGGAAUUAGAUCUUUUUAUCUGCUCCAUCAGUUUAUAGUAAAUGGUCAAAGAAGAAAAAAAGGGAAUAUAAAUACUGUUGCCCUAAGCAGAGAGAAAGAAAAAUUUUAUGGAUUGCUCUAUUUUUUUUCUGGUUAUGCAUGAGAAGAUAAAAGGUAAAUGGAAGCUUAGAGCAUAACUUGAGCUAAGGACACCAAAGCAGACUAUUCUUCAAAUGAUUUGAUAUAGGUCACAUUCACACCAUACAUUUAAAGCACUACGACACCAUUUUAAACAGUCACAGCUUCCUCCAAAAAGUUCUGGGAAGCAUAGUUUGUCAAGGGUGCUGAGAGAUGUUAGGAGACCCUAUUGCUUUCCCAGAACUACAGUUCUCAGAACAGUUUAACAAUCAGUUGCUUUCCAAAGAGAACUUUGGGAAUUGUGGCUUUGUGGGGAGAAUAUGGUUCUCCUAACGACUCUCAGCACUCUUAACAAAAUGGAGCUGCCACAAUUCUUUGGAGGAAGCCAAGACCAUUUGAAGUGGUGUGAAUGUGACCACAGUCAUCAGGUCCAUUUGGAAUAGGUGUAUACCUUCAAACAAAGGUGGCAUGCCAUUUAAGGAGAAAUACAGUGGCAUUAUUUCUUAAUGUAGGCAGUGGGUGGCUAACCUGUGGCACUCCAGAUGUCUUGAUCUGACUCUUGCUCUUGGAGCUGGUGAGGAGUUGGAAUCUAACAACAACUGGAAGACUCUGGAUUAACCACUGCCUGGUGUACACAUGACAUGAUGGAAAUGAGUCUAACAACCAUAUGAACCUGCCUUAUAUUGUCGCAGUCUAUUGGACCAUCUCGCACAAUAUUGUUUUACUCUGACCAGAGGCGCCAUCUUCUUAAGAGGACUGAGGGGGCCUGGGCAGGAUGCCUUGCAACGUCACAACUUCAUGUGUGCGACGCUGCACAAUGCCCUGAUUUUGUGCGUGUGAUGCCACGGGGCAGAGCUGAAUGCCCCCUGAAUAUUGAGGAGGCUUUGCCCCCCAAAAAAAUACUUGGGGGGGGGACAACCUCAACCCUUAGGAGUUGGCAUGCCUGACACUGACCGGAUCUUGGGGUCACAACUAUUUUCUCUCUCUUUGUGUAGCAUGCAUUUGGCAAGCAGACAUUAAAGAGCAAGAAAAUAUUUUAAGAACAUAUUAAUGGAUCUUAUGGGGAACUUAUAGUAUAUAUCCAAGAGCACUGACAACACAAUAGAUCGGCUGCUGUCAAAAAUCAUGGGUUUUGUAACCUUGUUCUUUGGUGGGGAAAUAGUUGGUCUUUCCCAGUUCCUAGUCACAAAUCAGAGCCUGCCUGUUUCAGCCUGAAGACUUCUCCAGGCUUAAGCGAUACUUGCAAAAUAUUACAUGGAAGAUCGUGGGGAAAUGCCAGAAUAUUUGCUAGAGUAUCUACAUUAUCCUGAGUUCUUUGGGUUGAGUUCUAAAAGGUGGAGUGCUCAGGAGUUGCAUCUGUGAUGAGACCCUGAAUGCAGCUUACUAAUGUGAACAUAAGAGCAUAAGAAGAGCCUUUCUGGAUCAGGCCAAAGACCCACCUCCCAGUAGCUAACCAGAUGCCUAUAAAAAGCCCACUAGCAGCACCUGAGCACAGCAGCACACUCCCUCAACUCUAACCCCCAGCAUACUUCCACUGGAGGUAGAAUGUAGCCAUCAAAGUCGAAAUAGAAUGUAGUAUUCAUAGCUUAUGAUUGGUGGUAUUUGCUGGUUUUCCUUUUGAUUGAUUUAUAGUACCUUUAUUUUGUAUGUACAGUGGUACCUCGGCUUACAGAUGCUUCAGGUUACAGACUCCACUAACUCAGAAAUAGUACCUCGGGUUAAGAACUUUGCUUCAGGAUGAGAACAGAAAUCACGUGAUGGCAGCAGGAGGCCCCAUUAGCUAAAGUGGUACCUCAGGUUAAAAACAGACCUCCAGAAUGAAUGAAUUUCUUAACCCGAGGUACCACUGUAUAUGGUUUUCAUUGCUGGAGGGUGUGUGCCUUUGGGUCAAAUAGCAAUGUAUAAAUAAACUAUAACAUAACAGGCUGGCUAUGGUCUCAUGCUGAUGGACAGCCUCCACAUUUCCUCAGCCUGUUUUCCUAAGUUUUCCGUUGUAAAUCUGUGAGCAGGAUCCAAGCAGCCUCAUUUAGUUUUAGGUGCUCGAUAAAUCAUAACUAUUGUUGUUAAAUAUAGAUUUGAGCAUAAGCCAGCUAAAGCUUAAUUCUGAUUUUUUGGAAUAUUUGGUGAAGCCAUCAGGCCAUUUCCUUCUGUUCCAGUUGCUAUCUCAUGUCUUCAUCAUGAACAAUGAAUGGUUGUUGAAACAAGUGGAUACCACAAAAGGCACUGAAGAGAAGCUGACUCGGCAAACUCUCUUCUGAGGGCCAUGAAGUCAUCCCAGCAAAAGAGACUUGGAAUCUUCUUUUCAG